GGUUUUGGGCUAUCGCCUUGAGUUGAUCAUGGCUCAGGACGAACGCUGGCGGCGCGCUUAACACAUGCAAGUCGAGCGAGAACCAGGGCUUCGGCCCUGGGGAAAGCGGCGAACGGGUGAGUAACACGUGAGUAAUCCACCCUCGGUACCGGGGUAGCCCGGGGAAACCCGGAUUAAUACCGGAUGGCCCAACAGCCUCUCGAGGCGGUUGGAAAAGGUAGCUUCGGCCUCCGACCGAGGACGAGCUCGCGGCGGAUUAGCUUGUUGGUGGGGUAACGGCCCACCAAGGCGACGAUCCGUAGCUGGUCUGGGAGGACGAUCAGCCACACUGGGACUGAGACACGGCCCAGACUCCUACGGGAGGCAGCAGUGGGGAAUCUUGCGCAAUGGGCGAAAGCCUGACGCAGCGACGCCGCGUGCGGGAAGAAGGCCUUCGGGUUGUAAACCGCUUUCAGGAGGGACGAAGCUACUCGGGUUAAUAGCCCAGAGGGUGACGGUACCUCCAGAAGAAGCCCCGGCUAACUACGUGCCAGCAGCCGCGGUAAUACGUAGGGGGCAAGCGUUGUCCGGAUUUAUUGGGCGUAAAGAGCGUGUAGGCGGCCAUACAGGUCCGUUGUGAAAACUCGAGGCUCAACCUCGAGACGUCGAUGGAAACCGUAUGGCUAGAGUCCGGAAGAAGAGAGUGGAAUUCCUGGUGU
This 698-nucleotide ribosomal RNA is filed under the name uncultured bacterium. RNAcentral describes it as "bacterial SSU rRNA". It matches the Rfam family "Bacterial small subunit ribosomal RNA", at positions 1 to 676 of the family's 1533-position model. The record is from RNAcentral.